Molecule: transfer RNA, 85 nt
Filed under: Chloroflexia bacterium SDU3-3
Lineage: Bacteria; Bacillati; Chloroflexota; Chloroflexia
Description: tRNA-Leu
Rfam family: tRNA
About the family: Transfer RNA (tRNA) molecules are approximately 80 nucleotides in length.
Source: RNAcentral
GGGGACGUGGCGGAAUCGGCAGACGCGCUAGACUUAGGAUCUAGUGCUGCAAAGCGUGAGAGUUCAAGUCUCUCCGUCCCCACCA